GACGAACGCUGGCGGCGUGCUUAACACAUGCAAGUCGAACGGAAAGGCCCUGCUUUUGUGGGGUGCUCGAGGGGCGAACGGGUGAGUAACACGUGAGUAACCUGCCCUUGACUUUGGGAUAACUUCAGGAAACUGGGGCUACUACCGGAUAGGAGCUCCUGCAGCAUGGUGGGGGUUGGAAAGUUUCGGCGGUUGGGGAUGGACGCGCGGCUUAUCAGCUUGUUGGUGGGGUAGUGGCAUACCAAGGCUGUGACGGGUAGGCGGCCGGAGAGCGUGACCGGCCACAUUGGUACUGCGAUACGGCCCAGACUCCUACGGGAGGCAGCAGUGGGGAAUAUUGCACAAUGGGCGGAAGCCUGAUGCAGCAACGCCGCGUGCGGGAUGACGGCCUGCUGGUUGUAAACCGCUUUCGCCUGUGACGAAGCGUGAGUGACGGUAAUGGGUAAAGAAGCACCGGCUAACUACGUG
Molecule: ribosomal RNA, 468 nt
Filed under: uncultured bacterium
Lineage: Bacteria
Description: partial 16S ribosomal RNA
Rfam family: Bacterial small subunit ribosomal RNA
Source: RNAcentral